This 243-nucleotide ribosomal RNA is filed under the name uncultured bacterium. RNAcentral describes it as "partial 16S ribosomal RNA". It matches the Rfam family "Bacterial small subunit ribosomal RNA", at positions 111 to 354 of the family's 1533-position model. The record is from RNAcentral.
UAACGCGUGAGGAACCUGCCUUUCAGAGGGGGACAACAGUUGGAAACGACUGCUAAUACCGCAUGAAACAUUCGGAUCGCAUGGUUUGAAUGUCAAAGAUUUAUCGCUGAAAGAUGGCCUCGCGUCUGAUUAGCUAGUUGGUGAGGUAAAGGCUCACCAAGGCGACGAUCAGUAGCCGGACUGAGAGGUUGACCGGCCACAUUGGGACUGAGAUACGGCCCAGACUCCUACGGAAGGCAGCAG